This 493-nucleotide ribosomal RNA is filed under the name uncultured bacterium. RNAcentral's name for it is "bacterial SSU rRNA". It matches the Rfam family "Bacterial small subunit ribosomal RNA", at positions 8 to 507 of the family's 1533-position model. The record is from RNAcentral.
AGAGUUUGAUCAUGGCUCAGAAUGAACGUUGGCGGCGUGGAUUAGGCAUGCAAGUCGUACGCAUAGCUUCGGCUAUGAGUGGCGCAAGGGUGAGUAAUGCGAAGGUAACCAACCCUGGUGUUGGGCAUAGCCGCGGGAAACUGCGGGUAAUUCCCAGCGACGUCACGAGAUGGCAUCAUCUUGUGACCAAAGGUGUGAUUCCGCUCUAGGACGGGCCUUCGUGGUAUUAGGUAGUUGGUGAGGUAACGGCUCACCAAGCCGACGAUGCCUACCGGGUGUGAGGGCAUGACCCGGCACACUGGAACUGAGACACUGUCCAGACACCUACGGGUGGCUGCAGUCGAGAAUCUUCGGCAAUGGCGAAAGCCUGACCGAGCGACGCCGCGUGAGGGAUUGAAGGCCUUCGGGUUGUAAACCUCUUUCGUAGAGGAGGAAGGGGCCGUGAAGAACGGUCUUUGACCUAUUCUAGGAAGAAGCUUGGGCUAAGUUCGUG